Acinonyx jubatus (cheetah) is the source of this 1356-nucleotide long non-coding RNA. RefSeq lists it as uncharacterized. The record is from RefSeq and is a predicted model, not a curated record. Lineage: Eukaryota; Metazoa; Chordata; Mammalia; Carnivora; Felidae. The transcript has 3 exons.
CAUUUCUACGAGUCUAACAGUCUUGCUCUUAAUGCUACUUGGUUGUGGCACAUGAAGAGGGAGCGGCUGGGAUUAGCUAUGCUCCCAGCCAACUCUCCUCCUGCUUUCUUGCUAGCUGCAUCCUGGGGUGACCUUACUGUUCUCUCCCAGGGUUAGUUGGAGCUAACAUUUUGAUCUUGGGUCCGUUUUUUCCUUCAAAUCCUAUAAAAACACAAUGCAAAAGAGGAUUGUGAGCUCUUGCUGCCUUUGACCUUUGAGCAAAAAAGCCGGUGAGGCCUGGGAAAUAAGCUACCCUUGGAAACGAAGCCCAGAGGUAAACAACGGAGGAGCUCACCAACCAGUUGGAGAAGUUCCACUUCGUCUGCAGAAUAAAGAGCCUUGGGAAAUAAGACUUCAUCUGUUUUGGUGGAAGAUCAGCAGCGGUAGCUCACCUACACUUGGUGCUACAGAUCCUUCCGGUAUCUGUCCUGUGUGCAGAGAAUCACCACUUUUCCUCUGUUUCCAGUGGAGUUACGGAGUCCAAAAAAAGACGAGAGACAACAUUUGAGAGACCCGCCCACCCAAAACGAACCCAACCCAAUUCCAGAUGACUCGGCUCAGUGCUGAAUGGGGCUUUAUUAUUGUUUUCUUUGUUCCUUUGAGAUUGGUUUUCAUUAUUCAUUGUUUCUCUAAGUGGAUGGAAACUGAAAACUAUGGGUAUUGCAUUUUAAUUGGGGCCAGUACUUUUCUAACAAUCAGGAAUUUAACUGAUGUUUUUAGAAAAUGCAAUUUGCUGGCAUGAAAAAAAAAUCUUUUCCCCAAUUUUUCAUAUAUUGAUGCAGGCGGGUAGGGAAAGCCAUUUAUGUCCAAAAUACAGUAUUUUCCAGUAGGUUCAAAUAGUAGACUAUUACCCAGUUCUGCAUUUAUUACCUACAGAUAAUGGGAUCCUUGUAGGUGUCACCACCAAACUGGUUAUUACAGAUAUCAUCUCAUAGCAUUCUUAGUUUCCUCAUUAACUCUUGUUGAGUGGUUUGAGACAGAAAACCAUUCUUUCCAAUAUUAGAACUUCCAGAAAGAAUGGUGUUAAAGAAUUAAUCAUACUCAUUAUUAAGAGCAGAGCCAGAAUAAAUGUGAUGUGAUACAUUAUCAUACAUUCUCUGUUUGCGAAUAUGAAGACAUCAACUAGGAAUAAGUGUGCUUGCUACAAACUUAGGGAAACAGAUUAAAAUCCCCAUUCUAUAUUAAAGAUCUAAUUAAUUUAUCAGCUAUUUGCCUCAUCAUUUGAACAUGUGAAAAAUACCAUUUAUAUAAAUUAUAUCGUUUUGGUCAUAUUUUAUUUUCCAGACUAUUUCUGUAAUUAUCUUACCCAGAACAUGU